Polypterus senegalus (gray bichir) is the source of this 222-nucleotide long non-coding RNA. RefSeq lists it as uncharacterized. Lineage: Eukaryota; Metazoa; Chordata; Cladistia; Polypteriformes; Polypteridae. The transcript has 4 exons. The record is from RefSeq and is a predicted model, not a curated record.
GAUGUCUAUAUCGAGACUGAUUCAAGAAAUGAAAUUUAUAUUCAAAUAGAUUCAUCGAACCAUGAUGUUAUUGAUGAUAAUGAUGAUACGGAUGAAAAUCCUUUACAGAACGAAGCAGUUUCUCAAAGGGAUUCCCCAGAGGUAAUCAACCUCAGCUCCCCGGGCGUUUUAACUCAGUUGUUGAACGGAUCAGAAAAUCUAAGCGAAUACCGUAACUGGAGG